Gorilla gorilla gorilla (western lowland gorilla) is the source of this 141-nucleotide ribosomal RNA. Lineage: Eukaryota; Metazoa; Chordata; Mammalia; Primates; Hominidae. The record is from Rfam.
AUUAAUGGCCAUACCACCCUGAACACGCCCGAUCUCGUUUGAUCUUGGAAGCUAAGCAGGGUCGGGCCGGGAUAAUACUGGCGAGGCGCGGUGGCUCAUGCCUAUAAUCACAGCACUUUGGGAGGCCGAGGUGGGUGGAUC